RNAcentral lists this long non-coding RNA (690 nucleotides) under Equus caballus (horse). RNAcentral describes it as "lncRNA (ENSECAG00000047424.1)". The record is from RNAcentral. Lineage: Eukaryota; Metazoa; Chordata; Mammalia; Perissodactyla; Equidae.
GGGUGGUCAGGACACACCAUGAAAACAGCCGCCGCUGAGGAGCCUCAGGACACGCGCAGAGCUGUGCUGGCGGCCUGACUUUCAUCCGAUCCUCAGUCAGCCCUGCAAGAAGGGCUCACAACCCCGUCAAGCCGCCAGCGUCACAGAGAGAGGCACCUCCGCCGGCCCGCCCUCCUCCGUCCCUUGCUCUUCCUGCCCUGGGGCCAGGCUGGUCCCUCAUCAUCCACCGGCACCCCCUCAUGGUGUCUCCCCUCAGACGAGGACAGCGCGGCACAGAAAGGCUCACCACAGGUUUGGACUGAAGUACCACCACACACGUCAUAGUCUGCCCCGUCCUGGACCUGGGCUGAGCAGGAUGUGGACAGAUUCCCAAGGAAGCAGGACAGCUGGGCCGACAGCCAGCCAGGCCCGGUCCACCCCAAGCAGCCAAAUUCUUCCCGCCUGCCUCUGACCCACCCUGGGGCUCCGAGAAAGAAGCCGGGCUCCAAAGACAAUUUCUAAUAAAGCUAAACGAGAGGAAGCUCUGAAAUGAGAGCGGGGGCGGGGGGGCCCCCGGGCCUUUGAACCUGCGGGGGUGGCACUGGCCGGUGCCCCAGUGGCCUCCACACUCAGCCUCCCUUAUGAAAAUAGGCCGGGUGCGUGGGCCUCGGGCAGCCUGGAGACGGAUGCAGGUCCGUUGGCACCCUCAGC